CCUUACUUAAUUUAUAUUUGUAUACCACCGUAUCUAGUAAUUAUAUAAAAUUAAUUACAAAAAAAAUUUUUUUAAAAAAUCAGGUCAAGGUGCAAUUUAAUUAAGAUGAAAUGAAUUACAUUUUUAUAUCAAACCUAUAAAUAUUGAAACAUAUUUAAAAAUAGAAUUUGUCAGUAAAAUCUUAUCAUAAUGGUUUUUUGAAAAUUAACAUUAAUAUGUACAUAUCGCCCG
Molecule: ribosomal RNA, 231 nt
Filed under: Epiperipatus sp. 12 CSC-2019
Lineage: Eukaryota; Metazoa; Onychophora; Udeonychophora; Euonychophora; Peripatidae
Description: partial small subunit ribosomal RNA
Source: RNAcentral